RNAcentral lists this ribosomal RNA (579 nucleotides) under uncultured bacterium. Its description in RNAcentral is "bacterial SSU rRNA". It matches the Rfam family "Bacterial small subunit ribosomal RNA", at positions 912 to 1500 of the family's 1533-position model. The record is from RNAcentral.
GACGGGGGCCCGCACAAGCGGAGGAACAUGUGGUUUAAUUCGAUGAUACGCGAGGAACCUUACCCGGGCUUGAAAUGUGCAUGACGGGAGGCAGAGACGCCUCCUUCCUUCGGGCAUGCAUGUAGGUGCUGCAUGGUUGUCGUCAGCUCGUGCCGUGAGGUGUCGGCUUAAGUGCCAUAACGAGCGCAACCCCUUCCGCCGGUUACCAUCGGGUCAUGCCGGGGACUCCGGCGGCACUGCCGCCGCAAGGCGCGAGGAAGGCGGGGAUGACGUCAAAUCAGCACGGCCCUUACGUCCGGGGCCACACACGUGUUACAAUGGGGGGCACAGCGAGCUGGACCAGGGCGACCUGGUUCGAAUCAUGAAAUCCCCUCCCAGUUCGGACUGGAGUCUGCAACCCGACUCCACGAAGCCGGAUUCGCUAGUAAUCGCGCAUCAGCCAUGGCGCGGUGAAUGCGUUCCCGGGCCUUGUACACACCGCCCGUCAAGCCAUGAAAGCCUGGGGCGCCUGAAGUCCGUUGCGGCGACGCGCGGCCGAGGGCGAUACAGGUGAUUGGGGCUAAGUCNUAACAAGGUAGG